GAACCCGGAGUCUCAAGUGAUCUUCUCACUUCAGCCUUCUCGGUAGCUGGGACUACAGGAAGGAAGGAAUUGCCAUGAACAAAGCGUAUUGUGCCUCUGAGGAAUUGUCAGCUUCAAGUAUGUGCCAAAACAAGGUGCAGCAAAUCACCAUGGCACACGUUUCCAAGUAACAAAGCUGCACACCCUGGACACGUACCCCGAAAUUAAAAAUAAAUAUUAAAAAUGAUACUGUAUUAAUUGACUAGUUAUGUUUGAAAAUGUUUUCUCCUGAUCUGUAUAUUGUGUUUUUAGUUAUGGUAUUUUUUGCUAUGCAAAAUUUAUAAUUUAGUAUAGUCAAAUUUAUUCAUCAUUUUUCCUUAAUAAUUUCUGCUUGUUGAAUCUUGUUUAAGAAAUGUUUCUAUACCUCAAGGCUAUGUCAGAUGUUAAUUACAGUGUGGGGUAUAUGUAUGCUUUUUGUACUAUCUUUGUAAUUUUUCUGUAAAUCCAAAACUGUUUAAAAUUUUUUUAAAAGUUUAUUUUUAAAAAAAGUGUAUUGUCCGACGAAUAAAAAAUGCAAGUGAAUAUAUGAAAAAGAAAAAUCAACACAUAACAAAGGACAAAUUCUAAUCAUGACAAAUACUACUGAAAAAAAAUUCUA
Molecule: long non-coding RNA, 637 nt
Filed under: Callithrix jacchus (white-tufted-ear marmoset)
Lineage: Eukaryota; Metazoa; Chordata; Mammalia; Primates; Cebidae
Description: lncRNA (ENSCJAG00000076432.1)
Source: RNAcentral